This 465-nucleotide ribosomal RNA is filed under the name uncultured bacterium. Its description in RNAcentral is "partial 16S ribosomal RNA". It matches the Rfam family "Bacterial small subunit ribosomal RNA", at positions 339 to 795 of the family's 1533-position model. The record is from RNAcentral.
CUACGGGGCGCAGCAGUGGGGAAUAUUGGACAAUGGGGGCAACCCUGAUCCAGCCAUGCCGCGUGUGUGAAGAAGGCCUUUUGGUUGUAAAGCACUUUAAGCGAGGAGGAGGCUACUGGUACUAAUAUUACCAGCUAGUGGACGUUACUCGCAGAAUAAGCACCGGCUAACUCUGUGCCAGCAGCCGCGGUAAUACAGAGGGUGCGAGCGUUAAUCGGAAUUACUGGGCGUAAAGCGCGCGUAGGCGGUUUGUUAAGUCGGAUGUGAAAUCCCCGGGCUUAACCUGGGAACUGCAUCCGAUACUGUCUAGCUUGAGUACAGGAGAGGAGAGUGGAAUUCCACAUGUAGCGGUGAAAUGCGUGGAUAUGUGGAGGAACACCAAUGGCGAAGGCAGCUCUCUGGCCUGAUACUGACGCUGAGGUGCGAAAGCGUGGGGAGCAAACAGGAUUAGAUACCCUCGUAGUC